This is a long non-coding RNA of Bombus terrestris (buff-tailed bumblebee), 1362 nucleotides long. RefSeq lists it as uncharacterized. Lineage: Eukaryota; Metazoa; Arthropoda; Insecta; Hymenoptera; Apidae. The transcript has 3 exons. The record is from RefSeq and is a predicted model, not a curated record.
AAAAAUGCAGGAUAAAAUUUGUUCGUUCAAGACUUCGUUUUCAAGAAUAUGAUAUUUGAACGUGUCCAGUUAAGAAUUGGCUUGAUACAUGCGUACUUGAUUCAAAUUUCAUUUUCUCGGAAGCGUCUACGAGCAAAUUUGAUCUCCAACACAUCUUCAACUUAUUUUCGUACGUAGUAUAUUCUUAUCGACUGUUCACUUCUGUCCAAUUCGGAAUUGGCCAAGUUCAAGUAUACGAGACAAGUUUUCAUACUCGGUUCUCUAGAAAAUGAAACGUCACAUGUUCUUCCAUAUUUCCAAAUUGUUUUUUCAUGUAGAAUCGCCCCCUUACCGAUUGUACCGCGAUUGCUGGGGUACCCUAUACAUUAUUGCGUUCGAAAUUUCGAAGUGAAUCACACUAAAAGCAAACCAUCGAAAAAUUAACGAUGUAUCUCGAAAACGCGAUAGUUUACUAUCUAGUGAAGUUUAUAUGAGAUAAGGAAAACAAAUAAAAACGGAAUUUACAAAGGAUCUGGAACGGAUCGAAUUUCUUCAAGCAGUUCAAACAAUUGAUUCAACGAAUCACGCAACGCCCACUUAAAUUUCGACUAGAUAUAUUCGCCCAUCUCGUUCUUUGAAGUACCACACGGAAAAUUUUUAAAAAGCGAAGAAGCCCUCUAUGGAUACUUCAAACAUCUGAUGUCACUAUCAUGGAUUUUCGGUUUGGUCGACUUUUUUGUUCGAGUCCGAUGACUUAUGGCUGGCAAUGUAGGGGCAUAACAGGAUGCUCGUGCUUCUCCGAUGAGCACGAAAACGUUUACCGUACACGCUGCGACAAUCCUCUAUUAUGCACGCGUGGCAAUAGAAUGAAAGUCAUUGUUCGCAAGGAAAGACGUCAACGACAGGAAUACAAAUUACAUAUUUUCACCGAUAACAAAAUAUUAAAUCGGAAGCUUAUUUAAUGUUGAUGGAAAACUACCAAAUCGCUAAUUCAUACAAUAAAAUGCAUUCUUAAGCUAUGUUUCAUUAAAUGCAUCUUCUAUAAUGUAUGUUUCAUUCAAUUAAAUAUAUUUCCUAAUUUAAACAAUUUCUAUAGUUUUCACAGAAUUACACAUAGCUAAUACUAAGUAAUUAAUUCAGUUAAAAAUAUUUCCUAAUUUGCACUAACUGUAGCUUCUAUACUAUGUAAUACAAAAUUACGUAUAGUUAAUGCUCAGUGAGUGAUUCGAUUAAAUACAUUUUCUAAUUUCACCUAGAAUUAUUUACUUUAAUGCUUAUAUAACUAUAAAAAGACAACUUAUUGAUAUAGUUACUCUACAUAUGUAUAUUUUCGUGUUAAAUUGAAAUACAGAAAUGCAAUACAAGAAGAAAAACACGAUGGAA